This is a long non-coding RNA of Herpailurus yagouaroundi (jaguarundi), 1980 nucleotides long. RefSeq lists it as uncharacterized. The record is from RefSeq and is a predicted model, not a curated record. The transcript is spliced from 2 exons. NCBI's taxonomy places the organism in Eukaryota, Metazoa, Chordata, Mammalia, Carnivora, Felidae.
CUGACCUGUGGGGGCCGCAGGAAACCACACCCGUCACAGCAACCACACGCGUGUCCUCUGCUCGUGCUCACCGCCCCUCCCUCCCCACCCCAGCAGACUGCACCUCCAGGAGAACACCAGAGGAAACAGAAAAUGAUUUCAAAAUGCUGCCAGCGGAGCGAGAAGCCAGCCUGGGCUCUUCAGAGCGCGAGCCCCAAGCGGCACUGCAGAUUGCACACCCAGGACGCAGCCUCCUCCCUGCUUUGUUUUCCUGUUGCUUGAGACACGGCUUCCCUCGGCCCCCAGACUGCGAGCUCAUUCAGGAAGGAGCCUGAGCCUCUCCGGUGUCUUACGUAAGCCCAAACAGCCCAAGACAACGUUCAAGCCAGAUUUCAGCCCCUCUUCAACAGCCGCUUUAAAAAGCAGGGGUGGCUAAGUCAUAAUGGCCCACGUUUCUCUUUGGGGGAUACGGGAGUCCAUGUGAAAAGCCGUGAUUUUCAGAUUCCACACAUGAGAGGGAAACAUCCUCCCUUUCAGCAGAGGGGAGCGCUGUUCUCGAAAGCACAUUCGUACAAGUGGACGACCCAGAGCCACUGGACCUGAAGUAUCCCAAUGUCUCUGGCGGGAAUUCAUUCAUUUAUCCCUUUACUCCACAAAUGAGUAUGUAGUCAGUGCCUACUAUGUGUACCGGGGCACAUGAGUGUAGAAAACGGGCUCACAGAGCAUUUUCCAGGGAAGGGACAGACAACAGACAAAACACGGAAGCACGAAGAGAAGACAGUGUGAAGAAACCUGGAACAGAGGGGCUGGGACGCUGGGGGCGCAAGGUGCACGUCUCAGUCGCUGAUUGGAGAAGCCCUCUCAUAAAGACGGCGUUUGAGCAAGGGCUUGAACGAGGUGGGGUGAGCCCCGGCGCUGCUCAGGGGGAGAACGUUCCAGGCACACGUCGAUGCUCACACAGUGUCUGGUGGGUGUCAUCGGGCCUCCUGGAAAGGGAGGCCAGGUGGGCUUCCAACCAAUGCGCUGCUGGCUUCCAGGUUCCCGCCACCCCUUGUCACGACACUAACCUUGCCUGACUCGGCAUGAUGUGGGGGGAGCACCUCCCACACACCAGGCUGGAACUCCACAGCUGAGACACUUCUGGGGACUUGUGGGUGUUUCUGGGGGGUUUCGCGUGGCUUCCGUAACAGAACACCAGAAACAGGGGGUCUUGAAUGACAGAAAUUUACUGUCUCCCAGUUUGGGGACCCCGAAGUCCAAAAUCAAGGGGUUGGUGCAGCCGUGCUCCCUCCAAAGGCUCCAGGAGAGGAUCUUUCUAUGCUGGUGGCUCCAGGCUGUUCUUGGCUUGCAGACGCAUCCACGUCAAUCUCUGCCUCCAUUUCCACGUGGUCGUCCCCUCCUCUGAGUUCUCUCCCUUGAAGGACACCAGUCGUGUUGGGUCAGGGCCCAUCCUAAUGACUUCAUCCUAAUUUGAUGACACCUGCAAGGACCCUACUUCCAAAUCAGGUCACCUUCACAACUACCAGGGCGUUAGGACUUCAUCCCGUCUUUCGGGAAAACACAACUUAACAAGCAGUGGAGGAAAGAUAAUUAUUCUGUUGACCCACACAGAGAUCAUAUCAUUCUGGUGGUUCAUACACUUGGUCGCAUGAAGACAGGCCGCCUAUAUGUACCAGCUGGAGGUGAGACUGUCAAAGUGUCUUUCUUGUCACUCGGGGCUGUGCAGACACAGGUGCUCUGGUUGGGAGCGGCAUUGCCCAUUAAUUACCGGCUGCUGUGAUUUCUGUGGGGAGAUAAUUACUCGGUUUUGUUCACUCCGGCACAGGAAGAAUAUGCUCCCAUCCAAGCUGGGUACCACCGCGGUCUCCUGGGUAACCCGGGAUGUCUCCUGGCUUCUGGUGUCUCAUUUCUGGUUUCCAAUUUUCUAAUGCUUUUGGUCGGCAAUUCCCUGUGGUCGAAUCCUUCCGGCUUCGUCUUUAUUAAAAGUCUUUAGAUGUUGAA